UACGUAGGGGGCAAGCGUUAUCCGGAUUUACUGGGUGUAAAGGGAGCGUAGACGGCAUAACAAGUCUGAUGUGAAAGGCUGGGGCUUAACCCCGGGACUGCAUUGGAAACUGUUAAGCUUGAGUGCCGGAGGGGUAAGCGGAAUUCCUAGUGUAGCGGUGAAAUGCGUAGAUAUUAGGAGGAACACCAGUGGCGAAGGCGGCUUACUGGACGGUAACUGACGUUGAGGCUCGAAAGCGUGGGGAGCAAACAGG
RNAcentral lists this ribosomal RNA (253 nucleotides) under Blautia luti. Its description in RNAcentral is "partial 16S ribosomal RNA". It matches the Rfam family "Bacterial small subunit ribosomal RNA", at positions 524 to 776 of the family's 1533-position model. Lineage: Bacteria; Bacillati; Bacillota; Clostridia; Lachnospirales; Lachnospiraceae. The record is from RNAcentral.